Molecule: long non-coding RNA, 2894 nt
Filed under: Capsicum annuum
Lineage: Eukaryota; Viridiplantae; Streptophyta; Magnoliopsida; Solanales; Solanaceae
Description: long non-coding RNA (CANN_LNC007611)
Source: RNAcentral
AACACACAAAACAAACAAGUCCAAAAAAUAGUAUCCAGUCCAAUUAUUACAGUCUGAAAUAAAAUAUACUAAAAUAAACCUACACUAACCUAUACUAACCCUAAACUAUACUCUAUCCGUCGCCUCGGGCCUUCAUCAUAAACAUCCUUCGCGUACAAGAUACUUCGAAACAUUCCCCGGUGAAUAAAUAUAAAUGACCUCGGGACAUUCUCUGACUAAGUAAAUACAUUUUCCAAUUUCAGGCGACAAUAUAAAAUAAUCUCAAGCACAAAAUUCAAUUAUUCCUCAAUCAUCAAUUUCUAUGAUUUGCCUAUCCAAUUUAGAAUUUGCCUACUAAUUUCGGCCUAAUACAUGGUACUAUUGGGCUUAGCCAAGAUCAAUAUUUAUCCCAAAUUAAACCAUAAUCAAUAGAUCAAAACUAAACCAAUUUUCACUUUUAUCAAAAUCAAGCCCUCCCCGAAUUCAUUCUCAACCCCACAAUUAACCAAUUUUAAUAUAAAAUUAACUAGUCACCACGAUAAUUACGAAAGCUCAAAUACGUUCAAACAAACAAUGAAAUCACAUCAUCAAUCAAUUGAAAUAAUAAAAGGAGUAGAGUUGAAAAUUGAACCUCACAAGAACGAGUUUUUCAUUGGUAAUAGUGCGAUAAUAAAGCCCGAUAAAGCCCGAACUCGAAAUCUUCGAAUGAAGAACCUCAACAAGGAACAAAUCCAAUCGGUGUCAAGAAACCACAUUCAAAAAUUUGAUUCGAACACAAAUCCAUGAAGAAUAUAAGAAACCCGAAAUAAAGAUACCCGAAUCCACACAAAAUACUAACACCAACCCGAAUCCGGACUAAUUUUGAGAAGGAAAUAGGACUGCUGGACCGUCUGUCGGCGGGUCUCGCCGGACCAACAAUGGAUGGUGACAACGGCGUUUACCGGUGGCGGGCCGACGUAUUUCUGGGGAGAAAUUCGCCGACAGCCCUUCAAUUUGACCGCCUUUUAUCUCUCCGUGUACUCCGUUUCUCUCUCACUCAAUCUAUCCUCUCUCUCGUUUUUCUCUUCUCCUCCAUCCAGAUCUCUCCGUUUCUCUCUCACUCCGACCAGCUCUCCAUUUCUCUCACGUUCUCUCUCCGAUCUCCAUUUUUUCUCACAGGUGUGUGUGCGCGUAUGGUGUUCUGUGUAGAAGAUGAGAAUGGAAUUGUCUUCUAUGAAAUUUUGGUGUGUGUGAUAGUAUGUUGUUCUUCAACGGAGUCUCUAAGAAUGUGUGAUGGUGUUUGUGUAUAUUAUUGUGAAUGUGAGAAUUUUUGUUUCCAGUGAGUUGUGAGUGUGUGUGUUUUUUGUGUGUACGUAGAUGGUCAAAAAUGUGCGGAGAAAAAAAAAUUGUACUCACUUUGUUUAAAGAAGAAUGAUUUAAUUUUCUUUUUAGUACAUUUUAUAAAAAAACGUUUCUUUUUUUUGUUGAUAAUAUUUUAUUUUUUAUUUUUUAUUUUUUACAUGACAUACUUAGUACUACAAAAUUAAAAGAUAUUUAUGUACAUUUGACGUAACUUUAAUUUAAGACCAUAAAAUUUAAAAAAAAAUUUAUAUUUUUAAAUUUUAUGCUAAAUUAAAUUAGAUCAUUCUUUUUUAAACGAAAGAAAUAAGUAUUUAUUUUGCGUUGACAAAAUUGGAGAGUGCACGUAGGUGUGUCAGUGGAUAGGAUUAGUUGGGGUAGGGGCAGGGGCAGGUAGGGAGGGGGCAGGGUAGAUAGGGGUAGGAUAGGGAAAGCCAAAUGGAUAAAUAUUAUUUUUUGGGACGAAUAAAAUUAUGUGUCUACAAGUAAUAUAAUUCAUGAAUCGCAGUAAUAUUUCAUGUGUAUCUGUUAAAUAAAUUUUAUUUUAACUUUAGCCAAAAUUACUAAUUAUUUAUUUUCGAAAAAAUUCAGAUGACGGUUUAAUUAGAAUUGAACAAAAAUCUUAAAAACAAAUUAAGUAUGUUGAAUAUUUAAGAAGCAGUGUGGAACAUUCUUGAAAACCAAAGUAAAAAAAAUAAAAAGAGAGAUAAUUUUAUGAUAAUUAAAAUGAUAUUGCAAGUGUGCCCCAUUUUAAUGAGCCAAAUAUAUUUAAAACAAUAAAUUGUAAAAUCAUUCAUGUCACGCCUCUAGCCUAGCCAAGGCAUGGCCGAUAAGAACCGUAUGAGUGUCAGAUAUGUGGCUGACAUAAAUAUUAUGCGGAGUUGCAAUUUACAAACAAUGAUGCGGGGUUAUGUACAACUAUAACCACGUAUGAUAACUAAACACUAUCUACGAAGCCUCUAAGAGAAAUUGUAACUGUAACGAGAAGGUGGUUGGGACAGGACACCAACAUCUCCAAACUAUAACCGAAAACAUAAUUAAAAGGUAUCUAGACGUUUGUUCGCUCUAGGUAAGAGAGGAGCUCACCGAUUGCUUUGCUGAAUAUGGAUGAGUGUCUAGUAUAGAAGUCUGCUCAUCAAUACAUCUGAUUCUGUAUUUACAGAAACACAGUGCCCCAAAUGUAGGGACGUUGUACAUAUAAAAUAUGUACUAGUAUGUAAAGAAGACAGAAUAACAAGUAAACGUAUAGGGAUGCUCAAUAAGUCAAAUAAUAGAAUGAGCAACUGCGGAUAACUGAAUACUAGAACCUCUUAUAGGAAACUAUAACUUAUGAAAGAACAUGUGACAAAUACUCCAUAUAAAAUUGCUACUUAUGUGUUUAUCUUAUUAACUUAUCAUAUAACCACUUAUGAAUAAAUCAUUGUUAUUAAGGGUAUAGCAAUUUGCCUAAGUGAUGUCUUGUGCCUACUUUUAAUACAAAUAAUCAUAUGAUGGCCCACCAAGGGCACUCUACGUCAAGUGUACCAUAUGUGUUAUCCAACUCCUGACUAUGAUGUUAUACGUAUAACUGUGAUCGC